Molecule: RNase P RNA, 388 nt
Filed under: Shimia abyssi
Lineage: Bacteria; Pseudomonadati; Pseudomonadota; Alphaproteobacteria; Rhodobacterales; Roseobacteraceae
Description: Bacterial RNase P class A
Rfam family: Bacterial RNase P class A
About the family: Ribonuclease P (RNase P) is a ubiquitous endoribonuclease, found in archaea, bacteria and eukarya as well as chloroplasts and mitochondria.
Source: Rfam by way of RNAcentral
GCAGAGGGCUGGAUGGCCGCGGGGGCAACUCCGAGGAAAGUCCGGACUCCACAAGGCAAUGGUGCCGGGUAACGCCCGGCCGGGGCAACCCGAGGGAAAGCGCCACAGAGAACAGACCGCCUUUGGCCACCCGCAAGGGGCGCCGAGGUAAGGGUGAAACGGUGGAGUAAGAGACCACCGCGCCCCUGGCAACAGGGGUGGCACGGCAAGCCCCACCAGGAGCAAUGCCAAAUAGGGACCGCGCGUGAGCAAUCACAGGGGCGUCUUGCCCCGAGCAGGUCCGGGUUGGCAGCUAGAGGGCGUCUGGUAACAGGCGCUCAAGAUGAAUGGUCAUCGGCCACGGGGCAACCUGUGGUGACAAAAUCCGGCUUACAGGUCCUCUGCGCAA